RNAcentral lists this ribosomal RNA (486 nucleotides) under uncultured bacterium. RNAcentral's name for it is "partial 16S ribosomal RNA". It matches the Rfam family "Bacterial small subunit ribosomal RNA", at positions 30 to 507 of the family's 1533-position model. The record is from RNAcentral.
AUUGAACGCUGGCGGCAUGCCUUACACAUGCAAGUCGAACGGCAGCACGGGUGCUUGCACCUGGUGGCGAGUGGCGAACGGGUGAGUAAUACAUCGGAACAUGUCCUGUAGUGGGGGAUAGCCCGGCGAAAGGCGGAUUAAUACCGCAUACGAUCUACGGAUGAAAGCGGGGGACCUUCGGGCCUCGCGCUAUAGGGUUGGCCGAUGGCUGAUUAGCUAGUUGGUGGGGUAAAGGCCUACCAAGGCGACGAUCAGUAGCUGGUCUGAGAGGACGACCAGCCACACUGGGACUGAGACACGGCCCAGACUCCUACGGGAGGCAGCAGUGGGGAAUUUUGGACAAUGGGCGAAAGCCUGAUCCAGCAAUGCCGCGUGUGUGAAGAAGGCCUUCGGGUUGUAAAGCACUUUUGUCCGGAAAGAAAUCCUUGGCCCUAAUACGGUCGGGGGAUGACGGUACCGGAAGAAUAAGCACCGGCUAACUACGUG